This 76-nucleotide small RNA is filed under the name Escherichia coli. Its description in RNAcentral is "isrK". It matches the Rfam family "isrK Hfq binding RNA". The record is from RNAcentral. Lineage: Bacteria; Pseudomonadati; Pseudomonadota; Gammaproteobacteria; Enterobacterales; Enterobacteriaceae.
GCAACCGCAAAAUCAGUUGUCGGGAUUGGACCCCGGUUAGAGACCGCGACAGACAUACACCGCGAGCGUGUUUUUU